Non-coding RNA from Taeniopygia guttata (zebra finch), 9836 nucleotides. Lineage: Eukaryota; Metazoa; Chordata; Aves; Passeriformes; Estrildidae. The record is from RefSeq and is a predicted model, not a curated record.
GAGGGAGGCGGUGCCCGGACCCGUCCUGCCCAGCCGGGCCGGGCGCGGCCCGGGGAGCGGGGCUCUUUCCCCGGGGCCCCUUCCCCGCAGUGUCGCUGGGUCUGCGUGAAGCGGCAGGAUAGGCGCUGGGACCUGGCCCGAGGCGGGGGGCAGCUGCCGUGGGGAGGAGACAAACUGCGGCGUUCGCGAAGGGUCACUGAGGAGCAAAGUGGCGAAGCUGUUUGGGCUUCAGCAGCCGCCAGCCCCGCCGAGCGGCUGCAGGGCCAUAGGGGUCGGUCCUCUCUGGCCACGUCAGGCUCUCAGGAGCGUUUGAUUGAAAAAAGCAAAAAGCGAGAUUUACUGUAUGUAGUAAGCCAUGGACACAUUGAUAUUCCUUGAACCUACUUGUCUGCCUGCGUGCACACUUGAUAUCACUUAGGUUAAUCAUACAUAUCUUUUCAACUACCAGAUUAGACUCAGUUGCUCAGCAUUGCCAGCCAAAUACUGCCAGAUUGUUCAUGAGUUUGGAAAUGAAUCUUACAGUUUGUAGAAUUCUUACAGUUGUAGAAUUGAAAACUCUUCUGGAUCUGCUCAAUACAAGAAAUAGGAACAUGUGCCUGAAUCUCAUACGUGUCUCUUAAGCAACAAGGUCGUCUUUCUCACUGUUUUGAUGUAUGCCUUUUGUAAAUACAGAGAUUUAUCAGUUAAUCUAAACCAGUGCAGUAAAGCUAAACUGUUCAAACUAGCCAGGAUCCUUUUAAGUGACACUGAUUUGAUUGUGAAUGUGGCUUCUGCAGUUACAUUUCAUUGCAAUAGAUUCUAUUGCAUGUAGUCCUAACUCUCAGCAAAAGUGUUGCCAGUCUUUUGUACACUUAAAUACCCUGGUUACAAUUCAAGUAACUUUUGAUUCAGAAGGUGGCACAGCGUAUUUGCACAUCUCUGAGGGCACAUUUUUGACCAGCAAGUUAAGAAUGCUAGCUAGCUGUUAUGCUGACUUAAUUGGGAAUAGUACAUGUGCCUGCAUCUCAGGCACAUCUCUCAGCUUUUAAGCUAACUUUGUAUUUCACUGCAAUAAUAAUGUUGUGGUUUUAUUUGUUAUUAAAUUAUAUGUUAUUUUGUGAUGGGCAGUGGGUGAUUGAAAUAAUUCCCUUUAGCUUUAUGGCCCUAAUUACCAACAAAAAUGCUCAUGAGACCUAUUGUGACUCAUUAAGUUACCUCAUGUUCAUUCCAAAUGAUGUGCAUCAGUCCUUUUAAUUUGAUUAAAUAUGGGAUAGCAUUCAGCUGUAUUAAUUUCAGGUGUUUAGUCCUAAUUAUAGCCCAUCCUGGUAGAUGUAUGCAGGUGCAGGCUUUGUAUAUGAGAACAGGGUUCUGUCAUCAUGCUCUACAGAGGCAAAACUAUCAGAUUUCAUUCACUGUGGCAAUUAAUUGGUUUCAUUGUUAUGGGAAGAGUUGUGAUUUUCCUGUGAUUUCACUUUACCUACCCUCCUGUAUAAUUCUGUAAGUGAUAUGAAUAUGUAAGUAGUGACAUAACUAAACUAACUUCAGGAGAUGAAAAACCAAUUUUGUGGAAAAGUGAAGGUGUUUGCAGACAUCUCUGGUGAAUUUUUUGUACUGCAGAGUUAGGAACCAUAAUGGAGAAAAUUUUGCCUCAGAUUGAACAUAGAUACUGAUAUCAAAAGACAAAGUUAAAUUUUAAAUUAAAAGACAGCGAGAGAUGGAUUAAUACAAAACAUGUCAUUUAGCCUUUUAUAAAAACUAUGCAUUGUAUUGGUCUGUGUAAGCACAAAGAAGCCCUUUACUAUUGAACACUUCAGUAGCUCCUUAAAUUGCAAAAGAAGUGGGCCAAGAGAGUACUUGUUGUGACACAAAUGGGUUAAAAGAAGUAAUAAACUUCCCCCUAGUAUAUGGUAUUCUUUGGGGGGUUUUUAUGGAAUAGAAAUGAAGUCCUUGGUCCUUUAUGUGGCUGUGCAAGGAAGUUAGAUGUACCAGCAGACCGAAAAGUACCUUUUCCAAUGCGAACUCCUCAUUAAUUUAGCCUGUGUUCCUUUCUGCAUAGGAGUGAGCAUAUGUUUACAUGUUAGUACCCCUUUUGUUUGUAUGCUUAUUUGGUCAACUAAAAAAGAAAUCCCAUCUGUUCUCUACUGGUGGAUCAUCCUCUUUGCCAUUAGCAAAGUAUUGGUAAUUAUGUCACAUUUUGUUUAAGGUCAUUCACAACAGUGUUAAGCAGCAAUGCCCAAAAUGUCAGACCUAUGAUGUGUAUUAGGUAGGCAGUGAUUUCCCGUUGAGUGCAGAACUCCAGGGCCUACACACAAAUCUCUACACCAGAGGCUUAGAUGCUUCCAAAACUCACAUGUAACCAGACAGCAAAGCUGUUUUGCCAGUUUUUCCUGCUUGAAUCUUGUCCAAACAGAUUAUCAAACCAGUGGGGUUUUUGUUGUUAUUGGGGUGGGUUUGUUUGUUUGUUUGUUUUGUUUUAUAUUGGCCUUUUGUGUGCUGGUAAUUGAAUCAGCUGAACCUGGUAACAGCCUUUGUGAGAAAGAACUGAUGUCCGAUGUUUGAAUUAAUUUAUUGUUGUGUUAGAGCUGGCAAUGUAACAACAGACCAAUAGAGACAUGAUCAUCACAAAAUUUUAUCAACAUCUCCCAUGCCCUUCAUAUUUCCCAGCUCUCACAGGAAGUAUGUGGCUGGCCUGGGAAACAAACAUUACUCUGUGCUUUAAACUGAAUUUGUCUUUCAUUCCCUUGCACAAAUAACAGAAUUAAUAUCUGUUCAUCUGUGAUUUUUCCAUGCAUGAUGUGUAAUGCAGCCCAUUCAUGAUAGAUUUUUUUUCUGUCAAGUGUAGAAAAAAGAGAAACAGAGGUGGAGAUGCUACUUGACUUACAUAGAAAAACCCAACACUGACUAUCCUUAUCACCUUAACAAUCUGUCUCCUCAUACCACUGCAUGGAUGUGCUCUUGGCUACCUGCUGGCUAGAGCAUAGGAAAUUCCAGGUCUGAAUACUCACUGUUCCACCCGAGAGCCAAGCCCUGGAUCUACUGAACAGAUCAUUAAGUGGGAUGUAAAACUUGUUCAGCCAGUCUGAAACCUUAUUUCCUUUUGACAGCAUGAUCAUCAGUAGAUUCCUAUGGUUGUUUAUUUCUAAGGACCUUGCUUCCUUACUUCAGUCAUAACUAACUAAACGAUGCCAUGAUCUAAGAACAUUUGAUAAACAAUUGAAUUAUAAAAUUAGAAGUUCACAUGUACUAACUAUUGAUAGAUUCUUUACCAAAUAGCUCUACUUCUGACUCACUCGGCCACACUUUGUCAUGGGUGAUACAAAUGUCAGGUGGCCUUGAAGGCAAGAUCACAGAAGGCCAGAACCAGCCUUACCAGCAGUAGAGUUUCAAAGAAAUAGACACUUCAUUGUCCUGUGAUGAGCAGCUGAGGGUUCUUUAGUCUGGAGGAGGCUCAGGGGUCACUCACUCACUACAACUACAAGAAAGGAGGUUUUAGCCAGGUGGGGGUCAGCCUCUUCUCCCAGGCAGCUUGUGACAGGAUGAGAUGACAUAAGCUGUACCAGGGGAGGUUUGGGUUGGACAUCAGGAGGAAUUUCUUCACAGAAAAGGUGAUUAGACAUGGUGCUGUUGAUAUGUGCUGUUCAAUUAGAGGUCUUUUCCAAUCUAAUUGAUUCUGUGAUUCUUUUUUUCUUUCCCCUUCAGGACAUUUCAAACCUUCCUUUGUAAAUUAGUUCCUAAAAAUCAUUAGGAACUAAAUUCCUGAUCCUUAUAAUGUGCUGGAGUCACCUCUAGAAUGUUUCCUUUCUACUGGUUUACUAUUAUCUUUGACUAAGAAGUUAAAUCCUUUGCUAGAAACCAAAUUUCUUUUUUGUUGUGUCUGUGCAAGACAAACUACCACUAUAAAAGAUUUUAAUUUCUGGUUGCCUGUUCAUGACUUUUGCAGUAGUUGCUUUUUUUAACCAUAGGACACUGCUCCUUUUUGAAAUCCUUUAUCACCUCCUUAGUAGUAUCCUACAGCUACUUUCUCAUUACAUUAAUCUUUUCUAUUCAUGCAGUAUAGGCUUUUCCAUACUCUUGGCUUGUCUUACUGUGAUUCAUAUUUUUUACAUACAUUCAUAGUUCUGCACUAUUUCUUCCUUCUGAUAUUACAGAAACAAUGUGCAUCAUAAAAAUGAGCUUCCUAAAUUACAAUUUCUGACUGACUGUGACAUUAACUAAACAGAAUUUCAAAGAUUACAUAGAGGAUAACCUAAUACUUCCCAUAUUAAGUAAUACUACAACUUUCUUUGAUUUAUCUUUCAAUCUCUGCUAUCAUAUCUCAAAAAUAUUAUAUAAAUAGCUAAGGUUAAUUUUUUCUGAAGACAUCUGCUAAGGCAUUAUUUCCUGUACCAAAAAUCAAUAUGUUAUUUAUAUUUGCUUUUAAUAGGUAUAGAUGAUACAGAGUCAGUAAUUACUGUCUCCUGUGCUGCAGACUUUCUUCUCAGGCAAAAUACACAUUUACACAAGACCCAGAGCAUAAUAUGUAUUUUAGAACAUUGAUAGAUGUUGAAAACAACAUAGCUCAUCUGAAGUCUUUCCAGACAGCAUUCAUUGUGUUCUGGAAAAUGCCUUUAUGCUUCCAGAGUUGGUUGCAGACCUCUUACCAAUUGCAUGAUAUGUAGGUUUUUAUUUUAGUUUUUAAGGAAUUACUCAUUUUUCAACAGGGGCAUGUCUGACUGGGUCAUUGUGUUUUAACAGAUUAUUGUCCUGGAGAGGCAAGGAUGCUCUUCCAGAAUGGAAAAGAAAGAAGGAAAAGGGAGAUGUGUGUUUUGGUAUAGGCUGUAAUGGGGGGAAAAUAUUACUUGGAGGAAAUGACAAUAAAUCAAAGCUCUUUUUCAUGGUUUAAGCCCAGCUGGAAAUUAAGCCCCACACUGGUGCUCCCCUUCCUCACCCCUCUAGUAAUAGAGAAAAAAGAGAGAGAUCCUGAGCUAAUAACAACUUACUGGAAACAGCAAUGAGGUAAGAAUAUGAACAAUAUCAACAACACUAUUAAUAACAAAAGUAUGCAAAAAGGAGGGUGAUUUGCAUACAAAAAAUAUAUAACUGAGCAACCCAACCUGGUGCUGCACAAUUCCAAUACAAAGAAAAAAAUGUCCCUCUGCCCCUCCUUGUGCCCUGUUUUCUCCCAAGCCCAAAACAAUGGAAAACAAAGGAAAACAAAUCCUCUGGUGAGGACAAUUGUUACCCCACUUCCUCCAGGAUAAAAGAAUGCCUGCCCUGUCCCAGGAAGCAAGAGCCUUUUCCCGGCCCCUUGGCGAUGAUGUAAGAUAAUGUGGAACAGCACAAUGACUUGGCCAUGCACACAUGGCUCCAGGCUUCAUCCCUCAUGUCCUUGGCCAGAGCCAGGACAGUCUAACAGUCAUACCAAUUGCUAUGCUGAACAAGAGCAUGGGUUUUAUUCCCCUAUUGAUGAAUUCUAACACUAGUGAGUAAAGCCCUUCCCUCAAACCAUAGUGAGCUGGGGGCAAAUACAUUUGUAUUCAGGCCUCCACUCAAAACUUCUAAGUGAUUUUUAAUGGGUACAGUUAGGUCUAAAGAGGGAGGAACAUUCCUCUGAAAAGAACAGGAUGUUUAUGGAUUCAAAGAUCUCAAAGCUGGAGCAGGUGGCUCAGAUGACUCAGACUAAGUUUCCAUCCCAGAAGGGGAAGGACCCUUGCACCUCUCAGCUGCCUCUCUCUGUAGGCCAGGGAAGGCAUCUAGCCCAGAGUUAAUAGAACAACCUACCACUUACCUCUGCUGGUUGUUCUGCCAGUAUUGUCCUUGUCCUCUUUAAAAAAAUUGCAUAAAAGACUCCCACACUUACCUCCAUUUUCAGAUCGUCCUGUUCCAGUUUUGAACCACUAGUUCUUUGGAUGUUUCCCUACACUCUAACUCUCCCUACAUAGAGUUAAGUCCCCCCUCAUAAGGUGUCGCAUGCAAAUUGAGGCACUUAGGAAUAGUCUUCCUGAGAAAGUAACUCUUCUUCUCCCCAUCUGUUAGGGCAAAUGUAUUUACUCUGGGGUUGUAACUUUUUUUCUAUAAUGAGUCCCAGUUUACAAUCUGAACUUUGAAAAGGUAGGAACUCAAAUAGUGUAUUUUCACUGGAGACCUAGAAAGAUUAAGCCAAUUUCUCAUUUCUGUUUAAGGGUUAGUUCUUGUGCCACUGAAUUGCUUGUCCACUGGGGCUACAGAGGAUAUAGGGGUAUUUACUGUCACUAUAGGACAUGUGAAAGCACAACGCAAGCCGCUGCUAUUGCAAAGGUGAAAAAGAGGAAGUUUAUUUUCUGACUCUAGUAUUUAUACUUUUCUAAAGGUGACAGUGGAUUGGAGGAUGAAUGUGCCACCUCUCCAAUGACACUAGACAAACUACUAGUUUAUCAAAUUUCUCCACCUCUAUGAAGGAAUGUAAAACAAUAGGUUGUUUACAGAAAGUUGUAUGAGAAGAUGUAAAGAUGUUUACAAGAUGUAAACUCAGAAGGCUUUAGAAAAUCUUAAGAAUUAGGGCAACAAUUUACUACUUUCCACAUUCUGUAGAUACGAUCUGAAUAUUUUGCACACUGAAUAAAAGCAUCCAUUUAAAACCAAGUGCCACCAACUAUUCAACAUCUCUAAUCCACAAUGACUUCCUAAUGGAAAUUAGUUUGAGGUUGUUGGUCAUUUCCUAAACUUUGUGUUGUAUGAUACUGUGUACCAUUCAUGUUUUGAUGAGAGUAUUGUGAUACUUCAAGUGACAAUUAAGUGCCAAGUACUGUAAUAAUUUAGGUGCAUCUGUAUUAUCAACUGUUUUUUUUCAGUUACUGCCCUGACAAAUAACAAAAUUUACCUUUUAUUAAAGCAUAUAGACCAAUUUAUAGAGAAUCCUGUAUUAGCUGUUGCAUAAUUUGGCCCAGGAUUACUGUUAAUACUACCUGGCAUAUAGCACCUCAGUUCAUUCCCUAAAUAAAUUUGUCACAUUUAGACUAUUCUGGUUUUCUAUGUUAUUCCAAGAUGUAAUUUCAGUACGACAGGUCUCUCUGCUUGCCUCAGGAGAACACGAUGCCAGUAAAGUAUGCAAUCUUAGAUCUAGAGAACUGGAACUGUUUUCACAAUGUUUACCCCCCAGGGAAAGAGAACUAAAAAAAUCUGAAGAAAGCAAUUUGCCUGCAGACUAAGAAUAUGCUUAUUCUAUCAGAUACAGUUUUCCAAUUGUUUCACUACAUUUAUGGUGAUUUUCUUUGUCAAAGUAACUAGUACUUGGAAACAAUGAAAAACCAUAACCUGCAACUACAACUCUGACAUAAAGAAAGCAGCAUAAUUUGUAAGGAAAAAUUAGGCUUGCCAAUUAAUUUCUUUGCCUGCCAUACUGAUUUCCCUCUAAGAUUUCAAAUCUCUUGAAAAAAUACACUACACUCCAUAACACAGGGCUACCUUCCUGGGAAACCUAGAAGGGGCUGUGGCCUUCCCAUUGGCAAGUAGCUGCAGAUGUUUCCACAUCAUCUAACUGUGCAAGAUCUGACAGUUCUCACAUCUCAUCAGCUCUAAAGUAAGCUGCAAACUUCACCUCAGUGUGCCAGGAAAGCAGGUGGGACUUUAAUAUAGGUGGAUGAAGCAUGGAGCUAUCUGCACCAAAACAUCCAGAAUACAGUCUGAAGCCAACUACAAGAAGAGGACCUGGGUAGUGUUUCUUUACCUCUCCGUCCCUCCCAGCCUGGCUUUAAAAGACAUACUGCUGUCACAAAAUCCACGGAGUAAGUGGGAAUUGCAAGCUGUCUUCUGCUUCCUAUUCUGUUUCUGUGACCAUCACAUCAACAAAGUUAACUGAAUCUUGUAAUUUUAGAGCUUAUGCUGACUUACUGACAGCAAAGUUUUUGAUGAAAAAAAACACGCUAGAUUUUUAUCUGACAUGAUUCUUAACAACUGUUAGGAUCCUCUUCUUCAUAUAAAUGAGUUGAGAAUAACUUUUGAUAAAUACUGUAAAUAAUAUACUUUCUGUACUUUAAAGUCUGUCCACACUGGAAGAACUAUAUCUUAUACAUGAAUAUGUUUUAUAAAAUGACUGAAUUCCCAGAAACCUUUGAGACUCAAAUAGAGAUAUUACUGCUUUUAUCUCUGAUUGGGAAGCUGAUUAUACAAACUGUGUGUUUGUAAUCUUGGAAACCAGAUUAACAAUAAUAACAAAAAAAGAAUCCAUCUAUGUACUUUUUUUCCUAAUAUGUUACUUUGAUAAUACCCUUUUAAAUUCUAGCUAGAUAAUCCAGUUAUUAGUAGGUAAGUACAUUCUUCAAAUAUAACAUUCCGUAUGUGUGUGUUUAUUUGAAUUUUCAAAGGGAGAAUGAAGUACAUUAGGACACUGCGUUAUCAGAUACUAAACCUCUAAUCUACAAACUCCUAAAGUACUUGGGUAAGUCAAAUUAGAUUCUUUGCUCUGUUGUGUUUUUUCCAAACAUGUUUUAGGCUAAGAAGAUAUGGAAAAAAUGGGAGCAUGAAUAUAGAGGGGCUUUUUGUAUGUGCUAUUCAAAGAGUUGAUUGCUUCUCUAGGAUUACUUCCAAAAGCUUGUAUCACUUCCAUGCCCACCAACCCCAUACAUUUAUCUAAUCUUAAAUAUAUUCCCUCAUUUCCCAGCCAUCUCACAAUUAGGAUAUUUGCAUUUGAUUAUUGUAACAGUAUUACUUUCACUUAUGACAUUAUUGUUUUUACAGUCUUAUAAAUGUUUUAGGGCCAGUGACAAGAGAGAGACCUUUUUAUAUAUACUAUCUACUUGAAAUACUAAUAAUCUUGUUCUAUGUUGGUCAUUACAUAACCAGUUUGUAACUCAGAAUAUAAGUCUCAGACAAAGAAGACCCAUGACACAAACACCGUGGGAAAAGAAUUUGUAACAAAACACAACACUAAAUAAGGCCUUGAAUAGCUUUAUUGAAAUCUGUAUAAAUAAACAUGCGCAUUUCAAAUGUAAACCCAAGUGAACUCAAGUGCAGACAAAAUUUUAACCUCUGUCAUGCAGGAGGUUAGUUUACAUUAAAAAAAAAACAAAACCUCAAAGCAGCUUUAAAAUACCAGGAUGAAACACCAGUUUAAUAUCAAGGUAUAAAGCAAAGCCAUGUCCAACAUAUCUCAUUUAUAUCCUGGUCAAAUGCAAUUUUUUUAAACUUUUUAAUGCUAACAUAAAUAAAUAAUUUACCAAAAUGUGCACUCACAGAGUGAACUUUUAUUUACAAUACACAAUUUAUAACCUAUUGUAUUUGAUUAGUUCAAGUGAAGAACAUCAUACUUUUUGCUUUUUUUUUUAAAUUUUAAACAGUGGGACACAAAGCAAUUCUCCAGGUAGUAGAUAUGUGACAUGUGCCCCCACAUUUAAGAAUCCCUCUCAAAGGCAGUAUUGUAUGCAAAUCAACAAUACAUUCUUCCAACUAGAUCAAUGGGAAAGCAGCAAAUCAAAAAAUAUUUCAAACUGUCACACUUAUUUUGGCAUCCUGGACCCCUGAACACAGUUAACUGAAAUCCAACUUGGAGUUUGUAUGCCUUAUAUACUGUACAGGUUCUGACUUGAACAUGCAAAUGCCAAUUCUCUUAUGAGUUACCUUUUCAGAUACACUGUAAGGCUAUGGUGAAUUCCAUCCGGAACACACAAAGAAAAUUAACAGGCCUACCUUUAAAGUGAUUUUGUUAAUUAACAAUUUAAAGGCAGGUCAUAUUGAAAAAAUUCUCAACUAAGCCUGAUACACAGUCAUUACUAUGGAUACAGAAUACUAUUAACUCUGACCUUAAUACAGAGUAGUUUGCAAGCUGUCAAACUACAAAAACUGGGGAGAGAGAACUUAUAGCACAAUUUAAAUUUUGGACUGUUACCAGAUAAAAAAUUAUG